GAUGAACGCUAGCGGGAGGCCUAACACAUGCAAGCCGAGCGGUAUUUCUUCUUCGGGAGAGAGAGAGCGGCGUACGGGUGCGGAACACGUGUGCAACCUGCCUUUAUCUAGAGGAUAGCCUUUCGAAAGGAAGAUUAAUACUCUAUAAUAUAUUAAUUGGCAUCAAUUGAUAUUGAAAACUCCGGUGGAUAGAGAUGGGCACGCGCAAGAUUAGCUAGUUGGUGAGGUAACGGCUCACCAAGGCAAUGAUCUUUAGGGGGCCUGAGAGGGUGAUCCCCCACACUGGUACUGAGACACGGACCAGAAUCCUACGGGAGGCAGCAGUAAGGAAUAUUGGUCAAUGGGUGCAAGGCUGAACCAGCCAUCCCGCGUGAAGGAUUAAGGUCCUAUGGAUUGUAAACUUCUUUUGUAUAGGGAUAAACCUACCCUCGUGAGGGUAGCUGAAGGUACUAUACGAAUAAGCACCGGCUAACUCCGUGCCAGCAGCCGCGGUAA
Molecule: ribosomal RNA, 495 nt
Filed under: uncultured bacterium
Lineage: Bacteria
Description: partial 16S ribosomal RNA
Rfam family: Bacterial small subunit ribosomal RNA
Source: RNAcentral